RNAcentral lists this ribosomal RNA (1594 nucleotides) under Clostridium perfringens. RNAcentral describes it as "partial 23S ribosomal RNA". It matches the Rfam family "Bacterial large subunit ribosomal RNA", at positions 1307 to 2911 of the family's 2925-position model. The record is from RNAcentral. Lineage: Bacteria; Bacillati; Bacillota; Clostridia; Eubacteriales; Clostridiaceae.
UAGCGAGAUGUGGGUGAGAAUCCCACAGGCCGAAAACCUAAGGUUUCCUCAGGAAGGUUCGUCCGCUGAGGGUUAGUCGGGACCUAAGCCGAGGCCGAAAGGCGUAGGUGAUGGACAACUGGUUGAUAUUCCAGUACCACUACCAUCGUUAUUAUCGAUGGCGUGACGCAGGAGGAUAGUGUGUGCUAGCUAUUGGAUGCUAGUCUAAGCGUUUAGGCAGUGAGAGUAGGCAAAUCCGCUCUCAUAAUGCUGAGGCGUGAUGGGGAAGGUUCUACGGAACCGAAGUACAUGAUUCCACGCUGCCAAGAAAAGCGUCUAGAGAGAGAAGUAGUGCCCGUACCGCAAACCGACACAGGUAGGUGAGGAGAGAAUCCUAAGGCCGGCGGAAGAAUUACAGUUAAGGAACUCGGCAAAUUGACCCCGUAAGUUCGCGAGAAGGGGUGCCUACGAGAGUAGGCCGCAGAGAAUAGGCCCAAGCAACUGUUUAGCAAAAACACAGGUCUCUGCUAAAGCGUAAGCUGAUGUAUAGGGGCUGACGCCUGCCCGGUGCUGGAAGGUUAAGGGGAACACUUAGCGCAAGCGAAGGUGUGAACUUAAGCCCCAGUAAACGGCGGCCGUAACUAUAACGGUCCUAAGGUAGCGAAAUUCCUUGUCAGGUAAGUUCUGACCCGCACGAAUGGCGUAAUGACUUGGGCACUGUCUCAACUGUAAAUCCGGCGAAGUUGUAGUGCGAGUGAAGAUGCUCGCUACCCGCGAUUGGACGGAAAGACCCCGUAGAGCUUUACUGUAGCUUAGCAUUGAGUUUUGGUAUUGUCUGUACAGGAUAGGUGGGAGACUAGGAAACCAGGGCGUCAGCCUUGGUGGAGUCAACCUUGGGAUACCACCCUGACAGUACUGAAAUUCUAACUGGCGGCCAUGAAUCUGGUCACAGGACAUUGUUAGGUGGGCAGUUUGACUGGGGCGGUCGCCUCCUAAAAAGUAACGGAGGCGCCCAAAGGUUCCCUCAGAACGGUCGGAAAUCGUUCGAAGAGUGCAAAGGCAGAAGGGAGCCUGACUGCGACACCCACAAGUGGAGCAGGGACGAAAGUCGGGCUUAGUGAUCCGGUGGUACCUCGUGGGAGGGCCAUCGCUCAACGGAUAAAAGCUACCUCGGGGAUAACAGGCUGAUCUCCCCCAAGAGUCCACAUCGACGGGGAGGUUUGGCACCUCGAUGUCGGCUCGUCGCAUCCUGGGGCUGAAGUAGGUCCCAAGGGUUGGGCUGUUCGCCCAUUAAAGCGGCACGCGAGCUGGGUUCAGAACGUCGUGAGACAGUUCGGUCCCUAUCCGUCGCGGGCGUAGGAAAUUUGAGAGGAGCUGUCCUUAGUACGAGAGGACCGGGAUGGACUGACCUCUGGUGUACCAGUUGUUCCGCCAGGAGCACAGCUGGGUAGCUAAGUCGGGAAUGGAUAAACGCUGAAAGCAUCUAAGCGUGAAGCCAACCUCAAGAUGAGAUUUCCCAUAGCGUAAGCUAGUAAGAUCCCUUGAAGAACACAAGGUUGAUAGGUCGGGGGUGUAAGCAUGGUAACAUGUUCAGCUGACCGAUACUAAUAGAUCG